AUUUACGCGUUAUUAUUUCUUGAAAUCGGUGAACAUUACACAACGUUUCCUCGCCAAACCUUUUAAAAGAAGUGAGUAUAGUUAAAAAGGCAUAUAUUUCAAAGGAUUUCGGAGAUCGUCAUUCACUAUAAGUGUAGUAGAAUUAUAAGCCAAAAGAAUGACUUUUGGAACUAUUCUUGUGGUAUCACUUCUCUUUGCUUUAACUACAGGUGGAAUCCCAAAAAAUGAAGAAGAGUGUUUACGCAAAGGUGGUGUGUGCGCAUUUAAAAACUACUGCCCUGUUGAAAACAGAAAUUCUGACUUUGGACUGUGUUCGAAACAGGGAAAGAGGAACGUCGUUUGCUGCCAUCCAGUUUCAGCCGUACAAGCCCAGUGUCAGAACGUUGGGGGAGAGUGCAUGUCUAAGGAAGCUUGUCAUCGCGCGCCUCGACAGACAAACAUAGACUGUGGUGGAGACAAUGUUUGCUGUAUACUACUAUUCUAAUUUCUAUUUGGUGAAAAUUAAUUGUUUUGUGAUCUGUUUGACAGUACCAUAAAUUAAAAUGAUUUUAUGUAUUCAUUAAAAACACGCAACAUGUCUGAAGAUUAAUAGUAUUUGCAUAAGCCAUUUCUAACAACGUUUUUCUCAUGUUGAUGAAUUCCUUUGUGAAUAUUUAGUAUCUUGUUGCUUGAAUAUUUGUAAUUGUUGUUUCAAAUGAACUUUUUAAAAUUCAAAAUGAAAAAAAAUCUUAAGUGUAUUCAAAAUAUUAAAACAAAACUUUAUGGGAAAAAAACGUUUAACAUGUAUGUGGGGGUUUAUGCACCAUCGAUCACCGUAGCAGGGUCAGAAAAACUAUUUUCAAUGCAAGGGAACAUUCUUAAACAACCAAUUUAAUUAUUAAGUGAUGUGUCAAUAGAUGGAUGCUCCUCUUAUUCCUCUUGGGGCCCAAAGCCGACUCUCAGUUACAAGGCUUUGUCAGAUCCCCAUAUACUAGCAUUUCAGGCAUUCAGAGCUAUUUUCAAGUAGUUGUGCAAAUGGAAUGGAUUUUGCACUAAAUGUACUAGAUUCAAUAAUUAGUGUGUUUAUUUUUUAAUCUUCUCUUCCAUGGUGAAUACUACACAACUUUUACCACACAAAACUUAGUUUGAUUUCACGUAUUUCAAUACUUUAAUAAUUUUAGUAUUAAUAAGAACAUGUAAAAAUGCCAGUUAUAAAAUUUAAGUAUACAAACAAACAAACGUCACGUGGCUCACUUUCAAGUUUUAUUCUUCUACUACCUUAAUAUACGUUUUAACUACAUAUAGCACACAAUUCUAAAUAUUUAA
This is a long non-coding RNA of Limulus polyphemus (Atlantic horseshoe crab), 1305 nucleotides long. RefSeq lists it as uncharacterized. Lineage: Eukaryota; Metazoa; Arthropoda; Merostomata; Xiphosura; Limulidae. The record is from RefSeq and is a predicted model, not a curated record. The transcript is spliced from 3 exons.